Long non-coding RNA from Ictalurus punctatus (channel catfish), 501 nucleotides. NCBI's taxonomy places the organism in Eukaryota, Metazoa, Chordata, Actinopteri, Siluriformes, Ictaluridae. The record is from Ensembl.
UGAUGUUGUUUUUUUAAAUUAUAUUAUUCAAUACAAAAAUAUAUAUGGUUUUCAAAGUACUGUGAUUUUAAUAAAGAUAUCCAAUAUUUGUUUAUUUAGAUCCCACACUCUGAAGAUACUGUAUGUAUGGUGCAGCUUAAGGCGUCUGGAUUUGGUCAGCGGCAACAACAACUGAGGUGUGCUGAGCUGUGAAGCACCGCAGUAGUUAAGAAUUAAGGAAAGCUGAGGCAGACGUGUCAGGGGAAGCGUCAGCCCUUGUCGUGUGAAGACCGAGCUCGUGUAAAGACCUGUGAGUCUACCUGCGCGAGUCCACCGAGCAAGGACACCAACAAGACACCACUCUCACUGCUAAUUUUUCCCUGUUUAUUUGCCACAGGCGCAGACCGAGGCAUACUCCCAGAAAAGUACACAACUUGGACAACCUACGCUCUCUGAAUGUGGCCUCUGCAGAUUUCCCUCUCAUUCUCUAUCGGACAUUGGAACUGCCAAUCGGCCAUCAAG